UUUGUCUCAUAGUAAUAUUUUGAAAUUAAUAUUUUAGUUAAAAAGCUAAAAUUAACUUUAAAGACAAGAAGACCCUAUUAAGCUUUACAAUUUUAUAUUAUUUUCAAACUAAUAAAAUAAUUGUUCUGCUGGGGUAGCAAAUAAAUAAAUAUUAUUUACAUAUUGUGAUAAAUAAGUCUAGAAAAAUCAAUAAUUUAUUAAAUAAUAAUAAGUUACUAUAGGGAUAACAGCAUAAUUUUUUUAAAGAGUUCUCAUCAACAAAAAAGUUUGUGACCUCGAUGUUGGAUU
RNAcentral lists this ribosomal RNA (288 nucleotides) under Paruroctonus boreus. RNAcentral describes it as "partial 16S ribosomal RNA". The record is from RNAcentral. Lineage: Eukaryota; Metazoa; Arthropoda; Arachnida; Scorpiones; Vaejovidae.